RNAcentral lists this long non-coding RNA (1460 nucleotides) under Olea europaea subsp. europaea. The record is from RNAcentral. Lineage: Eukaryota; Viridiplantae; Streptophyta; Magnoliopsida; Lamiales; Oleaceae.
AAUUGAUGUGUGCGUGUGUGAAGAAUAAUGCUUUUCUUUAUUUAUUUUUAAUCAUUAUAAGAAAGGCAUAAAGGAACAACACUCUCUUCUAUUCUCAUACAGUCUUCAUCCAAAAGAGAUUAAUGAAAAUCCUUAUUUUUUUCUUCAUCCUUUCGAUCUUGUUCUUUCCAUCAACUACUAGAGAGCUUUACCAACGUUCAAAAGGUACGUCGUGACUCGAGUUCAAGUUUAUUAACACUGUUUUUCUUAGUAUUUCAUAUUUCUUUGUAAUUUCUUACAUUGGAGGUUAGGCUCUUUAUCCUCGUCUAAAGUACUAAGUGCUAAGUAUUACUACGUUGUACUUAAUAAACAUGCAGAAUCCUCCACUUUUUUCCUGUCUUUCUUGCCUUUUUCCUUUAGCAAUUUACAUAUGAGUACUAAGAUUUAAUAAUUAUUAAUCUAUAUAUAGCUCUUACUUGAUGGAUUUCAUGUUUGUUUUUAUGCAAUAAAAGGCAGUGUGCAUGGGAAUCCUACGGGUCAUGCUCAUUCGGCUGUUGCUAACAGAUCGCCACCAACUGCUCUGACAGCUCCAAAGACAUUUAGAAAUAAACCAGUGUAUGGAACAGGUAGAAAUACACAGUUUCGCAAGCGACCGUGCAACUCUAACAACGUAUGCGGACGGUCAGGCAAACCAUGAAACUAUCUUUUAUAUUUAUAGUUGUACUCCAAUUGAUGUGUUAUCGUUGAUAAUCAAGUUUGAAUAAAUAAAUUCGUGUUAUAUACUAGAUUUAUCACCAAGACUACGAAUAUUUUAGGUGAAAUUUGGCUACAAUGGUAUGUCAGGUCAUGGAUCACCUCUAAGGGGCUUGAAUGUGCCCCUGGAUAAAAUUGGCUCAACUAUUUUUAUUUCUUUGGUCAUCAUCAUGACUUAGUGAAAAGCGCCAUGGCAAUAAAGGGAUCCUCCUCAGCAUGGGAAUUCCUCGAUCGAUUAGGACAACCAACUUUGGAUAGCAAAUCUUACUGAGUUGCUUGUUUGAAGUGCGUUCUUGUGCUACAGUUGGCGUGAGUUGGCACAUGGCCACAUCAGCAUACAGCUCUAUAAAUAGACAUUUCCCUCAAAAAAGUAAGGAGAGCUUCACAACAAUACUUACGACUUACUCUCUCUGAAGAACAUCAUCAGACUACAUCUUGUUCCAACCACCUUUGCUAGCAUAAAAUUCCUUCCUCAGAGACUAUCAAAAAAUCAAUCUAAAUAUCAGGUAGGCAGCCACUGAUUGUCUUAUGCGCACGGAAAUUUGAGGAUGCUUCGGGUGAUUACGAAACCUCUUUUACAUUCUUUCUCAAAGCUUUGCAUUUUUGUCAUUGGAAAUUCUUUCUUUUUCUCUCCCUUGCUCUCAUUGCUUCUCUCUGCUCCGCUCAAGGAAUCGAUAAAAUUUCAACUUUUAUUUCGUGGACAUGGAUUUCAAUAAAGGUUGGCAAAC